UGCGCAGGCGGAAUGAUAAGUCAGUGGUGAAAUCCUACAGCUCAACUGUAGAACUGCCAUUGAUACUGUUGUUCUUGAGUACAUUUGUAGUGGGCGGAAUGUGUCAUGUAGCGGUGGAAUGCUUAGAGAUGACACAGAACACCGAUCGCGAAGGCAGCUCACUAAACUGUAACUGACGCUGAGGCACGAAAGCGUGGGGAUCAAACAGGAUUAGAUACCCUGGUAGUCC
This 229-nucleotide ribosomal RNA is filed under the name uncultured bacterium. RNAcentral's name for it is "partial 16S ribosomal RNA". It matches the Rfam family "Bacterial small subunit ribosomal RNA", at positions 568 to 796 of the family's 1533-position model. The record is from RNAcentral.